AUGAUUGUCUUCCUAAUCUGGUGCAGCGUGCUUAUAGCGUUGCUAACAUUGUACUUUCGAAAGAUUUACUCAAGAUUCAGUGAUCAUGGUGUCAAUAACCCCAAAGUUGUUCCCCUUUUCGGGAAUAUGUCGAGGCUGUUUUGGGGUAUUGACAAUUUCACCGCAGAUCUGGAGGUGUACUACAACAAUUUCCCUGGAGAUAGAUUCGUGGGCAAAUAUGAAUUUUUAAGGCCAGUUAUAAUGGUUAGAGAUUUGGAUUUAGUGAAAAAAAUUGCAAUCAAAGAUUUUGAGCACUUCCUAGAUCACAGGACUUUUACAGAUGAAAAAGUUGAUCAGCUGUUUUCAAGAAACCUGAUAUCUCUAAAAGGUCAAGAAUGGAAAGACAUGCGAUCGAGUUUGAGCCCAGCAUUUACAAGUUCAAAGAUAAAGCUGAUGGUCCCCUUUAUGGAAGAAGUUGGAGAACAGAUGAUGCGCGCUCUGAAAAAGAAAAUCAGUGAAUCUGCAAAUGGUGCUGUGGAUAUCGAUUGCAAAGAUUUGACAUCACGUUAUGCCAACGACGUAAUAGCCUCUGUCGCCUUCGGACUGAAAGUGGACUCCCAUACGGAUGAAAAGAAUCAGUUCUAUGAAAUGGGAAAAGUAGUUACAGGCACUGGCCUCAGGCAGAUCCUUAUAUUUCUACUUAUGUCAACUUGUCCUCCCAUUGCCAGCAUAUUUAAGCUUACACUAUAUCCUAAAGAAGUUAAGGACUUCUUUGUGAAUUUGGUUUUGAAUACCAUGAAAGACAGGGAGUCACGCAAUAUUAUUAGACCAGAUAUGAUUCAUCUCCUUAUGGAGGCGAAAAAAGGUCAACUGUAUCAUGAUGACAAAAAUAUUUCCGAAAAUGUUAAUAGUGACAAAGAUGCUGGCUUCGCAACGGUGGAAGAAUCAACAAUUGAAAAGAAGAAUGUAAACAGAGGUUUGUAUUUUUAAUUCGUUUCAGUCUGGUCAGAUAUGGAUUUAGUCGCACAAGCUACGCUUUUCUUCAGCGCUGGUUUCGAAACAGUGUCAACGAGCAUGGCCUUUUCGUUACAUGAACUAGCUCUUCACCCAGACGUUCAGGAGCGACUUUAUAAAGAAAUCAAAAAUAAUCAUGUCAAAAAUGGUGGCAAGCUGAGUUACGCAAUUAUACAGAACAUGACGUACUUAGAUAUGGUAGUUUCUGAAGUAUUAAGGAUAUGGCCUCCAGGCUCGGCCUUAGAUAGAGUUUGUGUUAAGGACUACAAUUUGGGUAAACCUAAUGACAAAUCUACCGAAGAUUACAUUAUUCGAAAAGGAGAAAAUCUUUGGGUUCCAGCGUGGUGCUUCCAUCGUGAUCCCAAAUAUUUUCCAGAUCCUGAACGAUUUGAUCCCGAACGUUUUUCCGAUGAGAAUAAACACCUAAUUAACUCUAUUGCGUAUAUGCCUUUUGGGCUGGGCCCAAGAAAUUGUAUUGGUUCUCGAUUUGCGUUAUGCGAGUUAAAGGUCCUAUUGUAUCAGAUCUUGUUGCACAUCGAAGUGUCACCGUCGGUGAAGACCCAGCUUCCGUCACGAUUGUCCAUAGAAUCUUUUAAUCCUCGUCUUGUAGGAGGUCACUGGUUGACAUUCAAAUUACGAAAGAUGUUCUUCUUGAUAUGGUCCGUCGUGCUUCUAGCAGUGUUUAUACUCCAACUAUACAAGAGUUAUUCAAGAUUCAGCGAUUAUGGUGUCAGGCACCAUACUGUUGUUCCGUUCUUGGGCAACAUGGCAAGGCUAAUUUUUCGCAUAGACAACUUUAACAACGAUAUAGACAGAUACUACUACGGUUUCCCCGAUGAAAGGUUUGUGGGAAAGUAUGAAUUUUUGAAACCAGUCAUAGUUGUAAAAGACUUAGAAUUGAUGAAAAAAAUUACAAUCAAGGACUUUGAACACUUUGUCGACCACCGAAAUUUUACGGACGAAAAAGUUGAGCCACUAUUUGGACGAAGCUUGUUCUCUUUAAAAGGACAAGAAUGGAAAGAUAUGAGAACAACUUUAAGUCCAGCGUUUACGAGCUCAAAGAUAAAGCUGAUGGUGCCUUUUAUGGAAGAAGUUGGGCAGCAAAUGAUACGAGCAUUGAAAAACAGGUUCAAAGAGUCCAAUACUGGCUCUAUUGACAUCGACUGCAAAGAUCUGACGUCACGCUAUACUAAUGACGUCAUUGCUUCUGUCGCUUUCGGGCUGAAGGUGGACUCACAUGCUGACAAAAACAAUAAAUUCUUUGAAAUGGGGAAGAAAGCUACAAGUUUCCAACUCAGAUUUGUUUUGGUGUUCUUCAUGAAUUCUGCUUGUCCUGCCAUCGCUAGAUUAUUGGGGCUUACUAUGAUUUCGAAUGAAUUUAACAAUUUCAUUUCCAACUUGUUUGUAAAUACAAUGAAAGAUAGAGAGACAAAGCACAUCCUUAGAAACGACAUGAUACAUCUUCUCUUACAGGCGAAAAAAGGUCAACUUUCUCAUGACGACAAAAAUACUUCCGAUAUUGACGACAGCGGUAGAGGUGCUGGGUUUGCAACGGUGGAAGAAUUAUCCGUUGGAAAGAAGACUGUAAAUAGAGUUUGGAGCGACAAAGACCUGAUAGCACAAGCCAUGCUUUUCUUCAUCGCUGGCUUCGAAGCGAUUUCAAUAAGCAUAUGCUUCGUGUUACACGAACUGGCCCUCCACCCUGAUGUACAGGAGAGACUUUACAAGGAGGUCAAAGAGCAUGAUAUUGAAAACGGCGGCAAGCUGGACUAUACGGCCAUACACAAGAUGACGUAUCUAGAUAUGGUUGUCUCUGAAGUAUUAAGGAUGUGGCCGCCAACUGCUGCUUUGGACAGAAUUUGCGUUAAAGACUACAACAUGGGGAAACCUAACGAUAAAUCUACCCAAGAUUAUAUUAUACGAAAAGGAGAAUCAAUCUCUAUUCCAACGUGGAGCAUUCAUUAUGAUCCCAAAUAUUUCCCGAACCCUCAAAAAUUUGAUCCUGAACGGUUCUCAGACGAGAAUAAACACCUUAUAAACACUACAGCUUAUGCGCCUUUUGGACUGGGCCCUAGAAAUUGCAUUGGUUCCAGGUUCGCCCUGUGUGAGCUGAAGGUGCUAUUGUAUCAGAUCUUGCUGCAUGUUGAGUUGUCACCCUCGGCCAAGACCCGACUCCCCGCUAAACUGGCUAAGGGAGCUUUUAACGCUCGCCUUGAAGGAGGACACUGGCUGACAUUUAAACUUCGAGAUUGAUAUAUUUUUAUUCUUAUCAUAAUCUUCACAAUAAUUAAAAACGAUUUUUAUUAACAAUUAAAUUAA
Molecule: RNA transcript, 3312 nt
Organism: Bicyclus anynana (squinting bush brown)
Lineage: Eukaryota; Metazoa; Arthropoda; Insecta; Lepidoptera; Nymphalidae
Exons: 20
Source: RefSeq, a predicted model, not a curated record